AUGCAUCAUCAUAUAGAUAGCUUAUUUGCAUUGUUAAAAAAACUUUGUAGUCUCAACGAUGAUGCAUACAUGUCAACUAUGGGUGUUGGGUCCAACAAUUCGCAUUGGUCUCAAACCAAUGACAUCCAUUUUGAAGACCAUGAGUUUGAGGUGGACGAGGAGGGUGAGAGCAUUGUCGACGCGCCGAAAGGAAGAGCGGGCAAUUACACCACCAACGAUGACAAGUUACUAUGCAAUACUUGGUUGCAAGUGUCGAGGGAUCCAUCCGUUGGAGGUGAUCAAAGUAGAGAUGCUUAUUGGGGGCGAAUGAAAGAACACUCUGAUGCUCACAACGUGAGUGGAAUUGACCGCUCCGAGAGAUCACUUCGGUCCCGACGGUCGACAAUCAACUCGGAUUGUCAAAAGUGGGCGGCCGCACAAAAGGCAGUUGACAAGAUUAACCCAAGUGGCACAAAUGAGGAUGAUAGAGUAAGUGUCAUCUCAUACAUGUUCAUCAUACUUGUUUUUGGUGUCCGUAGUGCUAAUUUGUUUUCUUUUUCUUGUAGUACAACAUUGCAAAAAACUUGUUCAAAGAAGAGACGAGGACAACCAAGAAGGGGACGAUCAAGAAAGGAAGGAUCUUUACCUUACCUCAUUGCUACGAAGUGUUAA
RNAcentral lists this ribosomal RNA (651 nucleotides) under Triticum aestivum (bread wheat). RNAcentral's name for it is "partial small subunit ribosomal RNA". The record is from RNAcentral. Lineage: Eukaryota; Viridiplantae; Streptophyta; Magnoliopsida; Poales; Poaceae.